AUUGAACGCUGGCGGCAGGCCUAACACAUGCAAGUCGAACGGUAACAGGAAGAAGCUUGCUUCUUUGCUGACGAGUGGCGGACGGGUGAGUAAUGUCUGGGAAACUGCCUGAUGGAGGGGGAUAACUACUGGAAACGGUAGCUAAUACCGCAUAACGUCGCAAGACCAAAGAGGGGGACCUUCGGGCCUCUUGCCAUCGGAUGUGCCCAGAUGGGAUUAGCUAGUAGGUGGGGUAACGGCUCACCUAGGCGACGAUCCCUAGCUGGUCUGAGAGGAUGACCAGCCACACUGGAACUGAGACACGGUCCAGACUCCUACGGGAGGCAGCAGUGGGGAAUAUUGCACAAUGUGCGCAAGCCUGAUGCAGCCAUGCCGCGUGUAUGAAGAAGGCCUUCGGGUUGUAAAGUACUUUCAGCGGGGAGGAAGGGAGUAAAGUUAAUACCUUUGCUCAUUGACGUUACCCGCAGAAGAAGCACCGGCUAACUCCGUG
Molecule: ribosomal RNA, 490 nt
Filed under: uncultured bacterium
Lineage: Bacteria
Description: partial 16S ribosomal RNA
Rfam family: Bacterial small subunit ribosomal RNA
Source: RNAcentral